UACGGGGGGAGCAAGCGUUGUUCGGAUUUACUGGGCGUAAAGGGCGCGUAGGCGGUCAGUGAAAGUCAGUUGUGAAAUCUCCGGGCUUAACUCGGAAAGGUCAACUGAUACUGCUCGACUAGAGUGCGGAAGGGGCAACUGGAAUUCUUGGUGUAGCGGUGAAAUGCGUAGAUAUCAAGAGGAACACCUGCGGCGAAGGCGGGUUGCUGGGCCGACACUGACGCUGAUGCGCGAAAGCCAGGGGAGCGAACGGG
RNAcentral lists this ribosomal RNA (254 nucleotides) under uncultured bacterium. RNAcentral describes it as "partial 16S ribosomal RNA". It matches the Rfam family "Bacterial small subunit ribosomal RNA", at positions 524 to 776 of the family's 1533-position model. The record is from RNAcentral.